GAUGAACGCUGGCGGCGUGCCUAAUACAUGCAAGUCGAGCGAACAGACGAGGAGCUUGCUCCUCUGACGUUAGCGGCGGACGGGUGAGUAACACGUGGAUAACCUACCUAUAAGACUGGGAUAACUUCGGGAAACCGGAGCUAAUACCGGAUAAUAUAUUGAACCGCAUGGUUCAAUAGUGAAAGACGGUUUUGCUGUCACUUAUAGAUGGAUCCGCGCCGCAUUAGCUAGUUGGUAAGGUAACGGCUUACCAAGGCAACGAUGCGUAGCCGACCUGAGAGGGUGAUCGCCCACACUGGAACUGAGACACGGUCCAGGCUCCUACGGGAGGCAGCAGUAGGGAAUCUUCCGCAAUGGGCGAAAGCCUGACGGAGCAGCGCCGCGUGAGUGAUGAAGGUCUUCGGAUCGUAAAACUCUGUUAUUAGGGAAGAACAAAUGUGUAAGUAACUAUGCACGUCUUGACGGUACCUAAUCAGAAAGCCACGGCUAACUACGUG
RNAcentral lists this ribosomal RNA (497 nucleotides) under uncultured bacterium. RNAcentral's name for it is "partial 16S ribosomal RNA". It matches the Rfam family "Bacterial small subunit ribosomal RNA", at positions 28 to 507 of the family's 1533-position model. The record is from RNAcentral.